This 1739-nucleotide long non-coding RNA is filed under the name Helianthus annuus (common sunflower). RNAcentral describes it as "sRNA HanXRQr2_Chr03g0135431". The record is from RNAcentral. Lineage: Eukaryota; Viridiplantae; Streptophyta; Magnoliopsida; Asterales; Asteraceae.
CAUAUCCGAUUUGUCCUGUAAGAAAAAUAGAGUUCAAUUAGUAUGUCACUAAAACCGUACUAUAAGCCUAAGAAAACAACAUUAGUAUGCAACCACAUAUCUAUGAGACUUUAAAUAAGAAUAUCUGAAUAAACAAACAUGGCUACAUCAUCUGGAUUACACAUGCACAUUUUUUUUUCAAAACAUACGCCUAAAAUUUACACUAGCUCGCUACACUUGUUGAUCAAGACGAAAUGUUAAAUAUAUUGCAUCUUGUGUAACAUCUUCCAUUGAACUUUGAUUUGGAACCACAAUAUCCUUUCUGGGCGGCUUAGCACAACACCAUCACAAAGUCCCAUAUCACAAACUCAGAUGGAUUGGCAGACUAACAUCAAUGAACACGUUAUCAAAUCUUAUCUAACCAAAUUAAAUCAAACUCAACAGAUCGGUAAACUAAACAACCACUGAUCAAUUCAUUUUUACAAGAAUUCAAUGGUCAUAGCUACAUACAGGUUGAAAGCUACACCAAAACACCAUAAGAGAACACCACCGUUUACAUUUUUGUGUUAAUUAAGAUAAAAUAUACUACGCCCCUUACUCCCUCUAAACUUUUAGAAUAUCAAUACCAUGACUAAACCUUAAAACUAUAAAACAUCCACUAAAACCUUACUUCACCUCGAUCAAAACAUCCGAAAAAAACAAUGUAAACAUUUUGUCAACAAUUUGAGUAAAAAACUACAUAAAAAUGUGUCAGAUCCAACUCAACUCAAUAUCAACAUAGAUUACACACUAAUAAACAAAUUAGAUAAUCUACAAGUAGUUGUGAUCAGAUCAGAUGAGAUCAGAUAUAUUAUAUAUACUACCAGUAACAAGAGAAUGCUCAAAACACAUCUGAAUAACACUACAUCCCUCUGUAUUUCAUAACCUCAACUGCUGAAUUACAAGUUUACAGUUUAAAGUUAAAAACCACCACUAAAACCCUAACUCCCCUAGAUCGAAAACAUUCUUAAAAUAGGCACAGAAACUAUACAGAUUCAGUCCACGAUUGAUUCAAAUUAAGCAGAAAUAGUUCAGAUCUAGCUUAACUCAAAGUCAGGACAGAUUACACGCACACACUCAUGCGCCUUUUGCGUUUGCGUACUGCAACACUAACUAAUUACAAAUUAGAUAAGCUACAAGUAGAUGUGAUCAGAUAUAUUCGACUAGCAACUAGAAAAUACUCAAAAACACAUCUGUAUAACACCAAUCGCAUGAUUAAAACUUAAAAUUAAAAACCACAACUAAAACCCUAGCUCGCCUAGAUCGAAAACAUUUAUAUCACAAGUCACACAAACUAUACAGAUUCAGUCCACGAUUGAGUCAAAUCAAGUAAAACUAGUUCAGAUCUAGUUUAAAUCGAACUCAAGACGGAUUACAUACUCAUGCAACACUUGCUAAUAACAAAUUAUGUGAAGUACAAGUAAAGGUGACCAGAUCAGAUCAGAUCAGAUCCGAUCGGAGAAAUUCAAUUAGUAAUCAGUAAUCAGUAAUCGGUAACAGCAUGAUGAUGUUCAAACAAAUUGAUAUGAAGUUAACAGAUCCGUAAUCAAAAGCAAGCAGAGAAACUGAAACAAUACCUGCGGCACCGGUAACAAGAACACGAACUGGAUCUUUCGCCAUUUCUGAUGAUCUGAAGAGAGAAACGAGAUUUGAAAGAUGUAAGAGGCGAUGGAAACGAUGAAAGAGGAAGUGGUGGAUAGAUAGAGCAAGGGUGUGAUUUU